CAGUAGCCGCGGGAAUACGGAGGGUGCAAGCGUUAAUCGGAAUUACUGGGCGUAAAGCGCACGCAGGCGGUCUGACAAGUCAGAUGUGAAAUCCCCGGGCUUAACCUGGGAACUGCAUUUGAAACUGUCAGGCUGGAGUCUUGUAGAGGGGGGUAGAAUUCCAGGUGUAGCGGUGAAAUGCGUAGAGAUCUGGAGGAAUACCGGUGGCGAAGGCGGCCCCCUGGACAAAGACUGACGCUCAGGUGCGAAAGCGUGGGGAGCAAACAGGAUUAGAUACCCGCGUAGUCCAUGUCUCUUAUAU
RNAcentral lists this ribosomal RNA (301 nucleotides) under uncultured bacterium. RNAcentral's name for it is "partial 16S ribosomal RNA". It matches the Rfam family "Bacterial small subunit ribosomal RNA", at positions 509 to 809 of the family's 1533-position model. The record is from RNAcentral.